Molecule: transfer RNA, 68 nt
Filed under: Salmo salar (Atlantic salmon)
Lineage: Eukaryota; Metazoa; Chordata; Actinopteri; Salmoniformes; Salmonidae
Rfam family: tRNA
About the family: Transfer RNA (tRNA) molecules are approximately 80 nucleotides in length. Their secondary structure includes four short double-helical elements and three loops (D, anti-codon, and T loops).
Source: Rfam by way of RNAcentral
CCCUGUAGCUCAGUUGGUAGAGCAUGGUGUUCGCAACGCCAGGGUUGUGGGUUCGAUUCCCACAGGGG